UACGUAGGGUGCGAGCGUUAAUCGGAAUUACUGGGCGUAAAGCGUGCGCAGGCGGUUCUUUAAGUCAGAUGUGAAAUCCCCGGGCUCAACCUGGGAACUGCGUUUGAAACUACAGGGCUAGAGUAUGGGAGAGGGAGGUAGAAUUCCACGUGUAGCAGUGAAAUGCGUAGAGAUGUGGAGGAAUACCAAUGGCGAAGGCAGCCUCCUGGCCUAAUACUGACGCUCAUGCACGAAAGCGUGGGGAGCAAACAGG
Molecule: ribosomal RNA, 253 nt
Filed under: uncultured bacterium
Lineage: Bacteria
Description: partial 16S ribosomal RNA
Rfam family: Bacterial small subunit ribosomal RNA
Source: RNAcentral